UUUGACCCCAUACCGUCACCAUGUGUGUUUUCAUGUAAAUGGGCCAACAAAACUAUAAAUUGUUAGAAUUUAAACAAGGUUUAUGUAGACUACAAAAACAAAAGUUGGGCACAUCAUCCACCAUAGCGUUCCUUUUUUUUUUUGAACUGAAAUAGCGUUCCUUCUUUCUCCUCCCUAAUCAUAUCACUGUCUCAAAGCAACUGUUAAAAAAGUCCAAUCAUCUUCAAGUAGCGAAGAUAUUCCAUCCACUUAUCAAGUUUCAGCUCUAAUUAUGAUUCAACAUUCUUAAGUAGUAUACGGAAAGUAUAUCAAACGCCCAUUACAGCCGUUUCUAAAAAUUCUCAGUCCAAUCCUAUAAAUGUACUAUCAUAUUGCAGACUGUAGAUUGGAAGAAAGAAGAAGUCCUCCGAGCAUUUUGCCUGCAAGAGGAGCUGCGGAAGCGCAAGGUUGUUCAGGAGGUCAGGAUCAUUCCUCAUAAAUCAUCCAAAAGUACUCAAGUUUUAUGUGCGGUACGAAGCUCUGCUUCAUGUGGUUUAGUUCUUGAAUAUUGCAUUAGGAUUGAUCUCAAUACAUUAUGAUAGUCAUGCAGAGGAAGAGAACUGAGAGAAAACACUUGAAAGAAGAAUGAAGAUGGUGACCUGAACUCUCAAACACCAUCCAUCACACAAUUAUCGUAAGAAGAAAAAAGGUUAAAGAGGUGAGAGAGAGUUAGGUCACUUAGAUUUUGUACGAGAUGGAUUCAUUUAACAAUGCCACCUUCCCAGAAUUUAAUAUACUGUCCUCUCUCUUUCUCUGUUAAA
Long non-coding RNA from Brassica napus (rape), 800 nucleotides. RefSeq lists it as uncharacterized. The transcript has 4 exons. The record is from RefSeq and is a predicted model, not a curated record. Lineage: Eukaryota; Viridiplantae; Streptophyta; Magnoliopsida; Brassicales; Brassicaceae.